GCCCUUUGGCUAUUCCGAAGGGCAUGCCUGUUUGAGUAUCAUGAACACCUCAACUCUCAUGGUCUGCCAUGAUGAGCUUGGACUUUGGGGGUCUUGCUGGCGUAACCGCCGGCUCCUCUCAAAUGAAUCAGCUUGCCAGUGUUUGGUGGCGUCACAGGUGUGAUAACUAUCUACGCUUGUGGUCUUCCAUCAGGUUACCUUCAGUAAUGGAGGUUCGCUGGAGCUCACAGACGUCUCUCCUCUGGGAGGACAGCUUUUUAAAAGUUUGAUCUCAAAUCAGGUAGGACUACCCGCUGAACUUAAGCAUAUCAAUAAGCGGAGG
This 322-nucleotide ribosomal RNA is filed under the name uncultured Tomentella. Its description in RNAcentral is "eukaryotic LSU rRNA". The stretch from base 267 to 322 matches the Rfam family "Eukaryotic large subunit ribosomal RNA", at positions 1 to 56 of the family's 3401-position model. Lineage: Eukaryota; Fungi; Basidiomycota; Agaricomycetes; Thelephorales; Thelephoraceae. The record is from RNAcentral.